This 334-nucleotide long non-coding RNA is filed under the name Triticum aestivum (bread wheat). Its description in RNAcentral is "long non-coding RNA (TAES_LNC016013)". Lineage: Eukaryota; Viridiplantae; Streptophyta; Magnoliopsida; Poales; Poaceae. The record is from RNAcentral.
CCAAAAAGUGGAUAUAAUACUCGAACAGCCGGAAAGGUCCAGCAUCUCUGAGAAAUAAGUUCUGGUGGGCUAAUGCUCAAAUAUCUGAAACUGUUUUAGCAUAUAAGGACCACUCGCAAUCACAAGGAUAACAUCAACCUUAACAAAUCCUUACUCCAUGUUGGUAACAAAAACAUCAAGGAGGCAACAAACACUGCCAACAAAGGUACUUGAGAAGAACUACAACUAAGAUUCUUGGACGAAUGCAGCCACUCCGUUAGCUUAGAUAGCUUUCCUUGGUGCGACGACGUUGUCAGCCUACCAAAGGAGACAAUAUAUGCUUUAGGAGACACAG